AACGAACGCUGGCGGCAUGCCUAACACAUGCAAGUCGAACGAGACCUUCGGGUCUAGUGGCGCACGGGUGCGUAACGCGUGGGAACCUGCCCUUAGGUUCGGAAUAACUCCCCGAAAGGGGUGCUAAUACCGGAUAAUGUCUUCGGACCAAAGAUUUAUCGCCUUUGGAUGGGCCCGCGUUGGAUUAGCUAGUUGGUAGGGUAAAAGCCCACCAAGGCGACGAUCCAUAGCUGGUCUGAGAGGAUGAUCAGCCACACUGGGACUGAGACACGGCCCAGACUCCUACGGGAGGCAGCAGUGGGGAAUAUUGGACAAUGGGCGAAAGCCUGAUCCAGCAAUGCCGCGUGAGAGAUGAAGGCCUUAGGGUUGUAAAGCUCUUUUACCCGGGAUGAUAAUGACAGUACCGGGAGAAUAAGCUCCGGCUAACUCCGUG
RNAcentral lists this ribosomal RNA (433 nucleotides) under uncultured bacterium. RNAcentral's name for it is "partial 16S ribosomal RNA". It matches the Rfam family "Bacterial small subunit ribosomal RNA", at positions 29 to 507 of the family's 1533-position model. The record is from RNAcentral.